CUGCUGCUACUGUGGGGCGGCGCCUGCCUGCGGCUGCCCGGCGCGGCUCAGGGCGCUUUGGUCAUCCCCGGGCCGGAUGGAGGCGCCGAGGAGGCAAGACAUUCUGCCAGGCUGUUGCAG
Molecule: long non-coding RNA, 120 nt
Organism: Hippocampus comes (tiger tail seahorse)
Lineage: Eukaryota; Metazoa; Chordata; Actinopteri; Syngnathiformes; Syngnathidae
Exons: 2
Source: RefSeq, a predicted model, not a curated record